This 254-nucleotide ribosomal RNA is filed under the name uncultured bacterium. RNAcentral's name for it is "partial 16S ribosomal RNA". It matches the Rfam family "Bacterial small subunit ribosomal RNA", at positions 524 to 776 of the family's 1533-position model. The record is from RNAcentral.
UACAGAGGGGGCAAGCGUUAUUCGGAAUUAUUGGGCGUAAAGGGCGCGUAGGCGGCCUGGCAAGUGGAUGGUGAAAUCCCUCGGCUUAACCGAGGAACUGCCAUCCAGACUGCUUGGCUUGAGACCGGGAGAGGUGAGUGGAAUUCCCAGUGUAGCGGUGAAAUGCGUAGAUAUUGGGAGGAACACCAGUGGCGAAGGCGGCCUCACUGGACCGGUACUGACGCUGAGGCGCGAAAGCGUGGGGAGCAAACGGG